RNAcentral lists this ribosomal RNA (429 nucleotides) under bacterium. Its description in RNAcentral is "partial 16S ribosomal RNA". It matches the Rfam family "Bacterial small subunit ribosomal RNA", at positions 355 to 776 of the family's 1533-position model. The record is from RNAcentral.
UAGGGUAUCUUCGGCAAUGGGGGCAACCCUGACCGAGCAACGCCGCGUGAGUGAAGAAGGUUUUCGGAUCGUAAAGCUCUGUUGUAAGAGAAGAACGUGUGUGAGAGUGGAAAGUUCACACAGUGACGGUAACUUACCAGAAAGGGACGGCUAACUACGUGCCAGCAGCCGCGGUAAUACGUAGGUCCCGAGCGUUGUCCGGAUUUAUUGGGCGUAAAGCGAGCGCAGGCGGUUUAAUAAGUCUGAAGUUAAAGGCAGUGGCUUAACCAUUGUUCGCUUUGGGAACUGUUAAACUUGAGUGCAGAAGGGGAGAGUGGAAUUCCAUGUGUAGCGGUGAAAUGCGUAGAUAUAUGGAGGAACACCGGUGGCGAAAGCGGCUCUCUGGUCUGUAACUGACGCUGAGGCUCGAAAGCGUGGGGAGCAAACAGG